UGCAAGUCGAGCGAAUGACGAGAAGCUUGCUUCUCUGAUUUAGCGGCGGACGGGUGAGUAACACGUGGGCAACCUGCCCUACAGAUCGGGAUAACUCAGGGAAACCUGGGCUAAUACCGGAUAAUCCUUCGAAUCACAUGUUUUGAAGUUGAAAGGCGCUUCGGCGUCACUGUAGGAUGGGCCCGCGGUGCAUUAGCUAGUUGGUGGGGUAACGGCCUACCAAGGCAACGAUGCAUAGCCGACCUGAGAGGGUGAUCGGCCACAUUGGGACUGAGACACGGCCCAAACUCCUACGGGAGGCAGCAGUAGGGAAUCUUCCACAAUGGACGAAAGUCUGAUGGAGCAACGCCGCGUGAGUGAUGAAGGUUUUCGGAUCGUAAAACUCUGUUGUAAGGGAAGAACAAGUACGUUAGGAAAUGAACGUACCUUGACGGUACCUUAUUAGAAAGCCACGGCUAACUACGUGCCAGCAGCCGCGGUAAUACGUAGGUGGCAAGCGUUGUCCGGAUUUAUUGGGCGUAAAGCGCGCGCAGGUGGUUUCUUAAGUCUGAUGUGAAAGCCCACGGCUCAACCGUGGAGGGUCAUUGGAAACUGGGGAACUUGAGUGCAGAAGAGGAUAGUGGAAUUCCAAGUGUAGCGGUGAAAUGCGUAGAGAUUUGGAGGAACACCAGUGGCGAAGGCGACUGUCUGGUCUGUAACUGACACUGAGGCGCGAAAGCGUGGGGAGCAAACAGGAUUAGAUACCCUGGUAGUCCACGCCGUAAACGAUGAGUGCUAAGUGUUAGGGGGUUUCCGCCCCUUAGUGCUGCAGCUAACGCAUUAAGCACUCCGCCUGGGGAGUACGACCGCAAGGUUGAAACUCAAAGGAAUUGACGGGGGCCGCACAAGCGGUGGAGCAUGUGGUUUAAUUCGAAGCAACGCGAAGAACCUUACCAGGUCUUGACAUCCCAAUGACCGUUCUAGAAAUAGGAUUUUCCUUCGGGGACAUUGGUGACAGGUGGUGCAUGGUUGUCGUCAGCUC
This 1021-nucleotide ribosomal RNA is filed under the name Kurthia sp. JB124_B12_VA_12EMRSA. RNAcentral's name for it is "bacterial SSU rRNA". It matches the Rfam family "Bacterial small subunit ribosomal RNA", at positions 56 to 1061 of the family's 1533-position model. The record is from RNAcentral. Lineage: Bacteria; Bacillati; Bacillota; Bacilli; Caryophanales; Caryophanaceae.